Colossoma macropomum (tambaqui) is the source of this 386-nucleotide non-coding RNA. The record is from the annotation of a RefSeq genome assembly. Lineage: Eukaryota; Metazoa; Chordata; Actinopteri; Characiformes; Serrasalmidae.
CACAUCACUGUUCAUUUAUGGUUCAGAUCUUCAGCAGGAAGAUGAAUCUGAGUUAUUGUAUAUUGAUGAUACUGAUUUCAUAUACUAAUGGACAGUCACUGACCUCCUCUGAAUCAGUGGUGGAGAAACCUGGGAAAUCGGUCACUCUGUCCUGUUCUGUGUCUGGGCUUACUCUUAGCUAUUUGCACUGGAUUCGUCAGAAACCUGGACAAGGACUGGAGUGGAUCGGUUACAUUGGUAGUGGCACGGGCACUAGCUUUGCCCAGUCACUACAGGGCCAGUUCUCCAUCACUAAAGACACCAGUAAAAACAUGCUGUACCUGCAGGUGAAGAGCCUGAAAGCUGAAGACACGGCUGUUUAUUACUGUGCACGAGACUCACACUGA